This is a non-coding RNA of Phasianus colchicus (ring-necked pheasant), 654 nucleotides long. Lineage: Eukaryota; Metazoa; Chordata; Aves; Galliformes; Phasianidae. The record is from RefSeq and is a predicted model, not a curated record.
UUCUGAUGCAGCUUACACAGACCUUCCAUGUUUGUUCCCUGUCUACAGACCACGAGCUCUCUCAGGUUCAAGGCAGCAAGACUCACGAUCCUGCUUACAGAAUGUACCUGUUUUGCAGUCGUAGAGGCACCCAGCCAGAUGAGGUUCAAGCUGGUCUGCAUUGAUUUGAACAUAAGGUAGUGUUGGAACUGCUCUAUUACCUGGAAGAACUCUGAAUUCUGGUUAAGUACAUGUUGAUCCUGGUCAUAUUGGCUGCUUAAAGUGUACUUAAACACAGAUUGAGCCUGUCUGGAUGCUGUUCUUUCUCUUCAGUCAUUUCUCUCUUCUGCCCUGAUUGGUAUUCCUGCCCUCCAGCGUAACGUUAUUCAGAAACCUCUCAUUCUCCUGUGCAGCAGCAUAAAUAAGUUUGGCCACUGGGAAUACAGUACAGGGGUGGGAAAACAAUCCCGUAAUUGAAGACCUACUUCUAGCACCAGCGUUGCGAAUUAAAUCCGUCAGAGGACUCUCAGAACCCAGGACAACUUGCCACCUCAGAGCAACUUAUGCAUUGAAGAGUGUAGAUGGAAGCAAUGGUAAGUAAAUUAAACAGAGGCUAAUACUGUGAUUGACGUUGGCAAUGGUUGGCAAAAAAAGGAAGAAAAGAAAAAAAAAAAA